UGGGGAAUUUUGGACAAUGGGCGAAAGCCUGAUCCAGCAAUGCCGCGUGUGUGAAGAAGGCCUUCGGGUUGUAAAGCACUUUGUCCGGAAAGAAAUCCUUGGCUCUAAUACAGUCGGGGGAUGACGGUACCGGAAGAAUAAGCACCGGCUAACUACGUGCCAGCAGCCGCGGUAAUACGUAGGGUGCAAGCGUUAAUCGGAAUUACUGGGCGUAAAGCGUGCGCAGGCGGUUUGCUAAGACCGAUGCGAAAUCCCCGGGCUCAACCUGGGAACUGCAUUGGUGACUGGCAGGCUAGAGUAUGGCAGAGGGGGUAGAAUUCCACGUGUAGCAGUGAAAUGCGUAGAGAUGUGGAGGAAUACCGAUGGCGAAGGCAGCCCCUGGGCCAAUACUGACGCUCAUGCACGAAAGCGUGGGGAGCAAACAGGAUUCAGAUACCCUGGUAGUCCACGCCCUAAACGAUGUCAACUAGUUGUUGGGGGAUUCAUUUCCUUAGUAACGUAGCUAAACGCAGUGAAGUUGACCGCCUGGGGAGUACGGU
RNAcentral lists this ribosomal RNA (539 nucleotides) under uncultured bacterium. RNAcentral describes it as "partial 16S ribosomal RNA". It matches the Rfam family "Bacterial small subunit ribosomal RNA", at positions 355 to 886 of the family's 1533-position model. The record is from RNAcentral.